RNAcentral lists this ribosomal RNA (425 nucleotides) under uncultured bacterium. Its description in RNAcentral is "partial 16S ribosomal RNA". It matches the Rfam family "Bacterial small subunit ribosomal RNA", at positions 354 to 796 of the family's 1533-position model. The record is from RNAcentral.
GUGGGGAAUAUUGGGCAAUGGGCGAAAGCCUGACCCAGCAACGCCGCGUGAAGGAAGAAGGUUUUCGGAUCGUAAACUUCUAUCCUUGGUGAAGAUAAUGGCGGUAGCCAAGAAGGAAGCCCCGGCUAACUACGUGCCAGCAGCCGCGGUAAUACGUAGGGGGCAAGCGUUGUCCGGAAUGAUUGGGCGUAAAGGGCGCGUAGGCGGCCCGGUAAGUCUGAAGUGAAAGUCCUGCUUUUAAGGUGGGAAUUGCUUUGGAUACUGUCGGGCUUGAGUGCAGGAGAGGUAAGCGGAAUUCCCGGUGUAGCGGUGAAAUGCGUAGAGAUCGGGAGGAACACCAGUGGCGAAGGCGGCUUACUGGACUGUAACUGACGCUGAGGCACGAAAGUGUGGGGAGCAAACAGGAUUAGAUACCCUAGUAGUCC